RNAcentral lists this long non-coding RNA (1092 nucleotides) under Betta splendens (Siamese fighting fish). RNAcentral's name for it is "lncRNA (ENSBSLG00000001426.1)". Lineage: Eukaryota; Metazoa; Chordata; Actinopteri; Anabantiformes; Osphronemidae. The record is from RNAcentral.
AUGAGGGAAGAGGCCUUGAAGCUGUCACUGAAGUACAGCUUUGUGACCUCACUCACAUCUAUGGUGGUCACCAAGCCUGAGGGAGAAAACUCUGAUGUGCUGCAUAAACCCAAAGAAGGCCAGAUGCAGCCUAAUCCAGGUAUAGCAUUGCCUUGCUUUAACUUGAUAAUGUCAAAUAAUUUAUUAUUGUAUUUUAUAUAUAAAUACAUUUACAAUGUUGCAAAUUGAUUAACCAUUAAUCAUUUGAUGAUGCACCAUCGGAAAAAACAUUUUAAUUUGAUGUAUACAAAGCUCAAACAUUUGGACUGUGCAAGUGGCUUAUUUAAAAUUAGACUACAAGACCGAAAAGUAAAACUUUGAACUCAUUUAUUAUGUUUUUUUCUGUUUUUACAGUUGCAAAUUCAGGUUUGAUGUAGAAAAUCUUGUACAGCAAUUGAGUGACAGAAAAAGUUAACUUUCUUUAAUGCUUAUAUAUUUUUUAAUUGAAACAGAAACAAUGGGGGGGGGGGGGGGGCGUCACGGUGGUGCGGUGGGUAGCACUGUCGCCCCACAGCAAGAAGGCUCUGGGUUCGAUUCCCGGAGGCGGCCCCUGUGCCUCUCUGUGUGGAGCUUGCACGUUCUCCCCAUGUUUGCGUGGGUUCUCUCCGGGUUCUCCGGCUUCCUCCCACAGUCCAAAGACGUGCAUUAGGUUGAUUGGCUUCUCUCCAUUGCCCGUAGGUGUGAGUGUGUGAGUGAAUGGUUGUCUGUCUAUGUGUUGCCCUGCGAUGGACUGGCGACCCUGUCCAGGGUGUACCCUGCCUCUCGCCCGUAGCCAGCUGGGUUAGGCUCCAGCACCCCCGUGACCCCGCACUAGGAGUAAGCGGUUAAGAAAAUGGAUGGAUGGACAAUGUGUACAUGUCCUAAAGGUCUGCCAAUAAUGCCAACUUCAGCUUUUAGUGGAUGACAGUAGGGUAUACUGUCAUCCGGUAAGUCACUUACUAAAUGAAAACAUUUGCCAAAAUAUUUAGCUAAAAACUGUCUGAACUAUAAUUAUUUUUAAUUACUAUAAUUAACUAUAAUAAAAUGUCAUUAUUGUACUGUAAAUAAAAAUAU